ACAUGAAGGAGACCUGUCUGCACAGUCUCCCCAUGACCACCAGGACUGAGCCAGCUGAUCUGGUUAGGCAGGGGUCCCCUUCCGCCCUUGUUGUUGUGUGUGCGUGUACCCUGAAGCUAUGGCCUCGAAGAAGACAGCUUUUCUGUCUAGGACAGGAUGACUCUUCACUUAAUGCUAUAGAAGUAGCUGCACUCUCCGCUAGAGCCUCCGAACAGCCCCGGAGGAGUCUGAGAAGGGCAUCUUGAC
Molecule: small nuclear RNA, 246 nt
Filed under: Microtus ochrogaster (prairie vole)
Lineage: Eukaryota; Metazoa; Chordata; Mammalia; Rodentia; Cricetidae
Description: 7SK RNA (ENSMOCG00000003718.1)
Rfam family: 7SK RNA
About the family: 7SK was discovered as an abundant small nuclear RNA in the mid-70s but a possible function has only recently been suggested. Two independent studies have found that 7SK RNA binds the CDK9/cyclin T complex (known as elongation factor P-TEFb).
Source: RNAcentral